GACGAAGGAUGCAAGCGUUAUCCGGAUUCAUUGGGUUUAAAGGGCGCGUAGGCGGAUGGUACAGUCAGACGUGAAAUUCCUGGGCUCAACCUGGGGGCUGCGUUUGAUACGUGCUGUCUGGAGUUCGGAAGAGGGUCGUGGAAUUCCCAGUGUAGAGGUGAAAUUCGUAGAUAUUGGGAAGAACACCGGUGGCGAAGGCGGCGACCUGGUCCGAUACUGACGCUGAGGCGCGAAAGCGUGGGGAGCAAACAGG
Molecule: ribosomal RNA, 253 nt
Filed under: uncultured bacterium
Lineage: Bacteria
Description: partial 16S ribosomal RNA
Rfam family: Bacterial small subunit ribosomal RNA
Source: RNAcentral